RNAcentral lists this long non-coding RNA (1904 nucleotides) under Papio anubis (olive baboon). Its description in RNAcentral is "lncRNA (ENSPANG00000049127.1)". Lineage: Eukaryota; Metazoa; Chordata; Mammalia; Primates; Cercopithecidae. The record is from RNAcentral.
UCACUUGAGGGAGCUCAGUUUUUUUGUUUAUUUGAUUUCGAGACAGAGUUAAGCACAGUUGCCCAGGUUGGAGUGCAAUGGCAGAUCAUAGCUCAUUGCAGCCUUGAAUUCUUAGGCUCAAGUGAUCCUCCUGCUUCAGUCUCUCAAAGUGUUGGGAUUACAGGCUUGAGCCACCAUGCCCACACCCAGCCCAGGAAUUUUUUUUUUUUUUUUUCUUUUGAGAUGAGUCUCCCUCUGUUGCCAGGCUGGAGUGCAGUGGCGCAAUCUCAGCUCACUGCAACCUCCGCCCCCCCCCCCCCCCGGGUUCAAGCAACCCUCGUGCCACAGCCUCCCGAGUAGCUGGGAUUACAGGCGCGUGCCACCACACCUAGCUAAUUUUUAUGGUUUUUGGUAGAGACAGGGUUUCACCUUGUUAGCUAGGCUGGUCUCAAACUCCUGACCUCAAGUGAUCCACCCGCCUUGGCCUCCCAAAGUGCUGGGAUUACAGGCGUGAGCCACCGCACCCAACCUGUUUGUUUGUUUUUUCGUUUAGAGACAGGGUCUUACUCUGUCACCCAGGCCAGAGUGCAGUGGUAUGAUCAUAUCUCACUAUAACCUCAAACUCCUAAGCUCAAACAACCCUCCUGCCUCAGCCUCACAAGUGGCUAGGUCUACAGGCAUGCACCACCAUGCUGGGCUAAUUUAAAGUAUAUAUUUUUUGUAGAGAUACAGUCAAGGGAGAGGCAUUUUCACUAUGUUGCCUAGGCUGACCUCAAACUCCUGGCCUCCAUCCAUCCUCUGGCCUCGUCCUCCCAAGUAGCUGGGAUUAUAGGCACAUGCCACCACUCUCAGCUCCCCUGUUCCAUUUUUUUUGUUGUUGUUGUUUAAACGUGACCCAUUUCCCCAUCUUCUAAAUUGCCAGAGGUGACUGAGAGCUCAAAAUGUGGGCCCAGAUGGAUGACCUGAGCCAAAUCCCUUUUACACAACUGGGGCUGCUGGCUGCCAUGUGCCCCAGAGGCCAACACAGAGAGAAGUGAGAAGAGCAGAGCCAAGAGUCAGACAAAGAAAGAGAGUCCGGGCAGCCCUGGGUUGCUGGUUCUAGUCCCGGAGGCCAUGGCUGCUGUACUCUGUUUUCCAGUUCUGUGAACUAUCACAACAGCCCUGCAGGCUUCUCAAGUCACUUAAAUUCACUCUUGCUUUAGCCACAUUGAGAGGAGUUUUAACACUUGCAACCAAAAAGAGUUCUGACAAAUACACAAGGUCACAGGUAAUUCUGAAUCAUCGACUUGGAGGCCCAAAGUUCAAAGAGGCCUCAAAAGGUCAUCCAGGCCAGCAGCUUAAAAAACAAUAACAACAAAAACAAACAAACAAAAAAUCCCUCUUAUUUUAAAUAGCUAAAUGUUCAAAUCUUCAGGAACCCAAAUAUAUAAAGCAGUCAAAAGAGGAAGUGCUGUGGUAACUGUAAGAGUGUGAAGACCCCGAGCCCUGCCCACCACCUCCUCUGUAUCCAGCUGAAAGCUACUCAUCUGGUCCAACUUCCUACAUCAGGAAUCACUUUGACCACAUUUUUGACACCUGGUCACCUAGCCUCAGCUUGAACACAUCCACACGGGCAGCUGAGUAAGCCUUGAGGCAGUCCCCUUCCUUUUCUUGACUUCUCUGAUAGCAAGACAUGGGUCUUAGUCCUCUGGGGUGAAACAGUGUGAAUUAAAAGCACCUUCUCUGUGGCAGCCCUUCCUGAUGACAAUGAUCAUGUCCCACUUAGCUCCCAGCUUACACAUCCUCACUUCCUUCUGACUGUUCCUCAUGGGACAUCAUGUCCAGCUGGUGAGAUGCCUAAAAUAGGCAGGCUGCUGUUUAAGGUGUGAUUUCAGGAGGACCAUAAAGACAGAAGCCUUAGAGUUAGAGAACAUGCUUAUUUUAAA